RNAcentral lists this ribosomal RNA (1170 nucleotides) under Urothemis cf. signata BM-2008. RNAcentral's name for it is "partial 16S ribosomal RNA". Lineage: Eukaryota; Metazoa; Arthropoda; Insecta; Odonata; Libellulidae. The record is from RNAcentral.
AAUUUAUGUCUUACUUAUUCUUUUUUUUAUUUUGUGAGAAGUAUCUUUUUGUUUAGUAUGUUAAUGAAUAAUUUUUUUUGUUAUAGUGAAUUAGUACUGUUAAGGAAUUGAUGAAAUAGGUUAAAAAUUAUUUUUUUGUAAGUAUAUUUUAUUUAUAGUACCUUUUGUAUCAGGGUUAAUCAAAUUUAUUAAUUUAUAUUUAAUUCUCGAUUUUAGAUGAGCUAUUUUAUUAUUUUAGUUAAUGUUUCAUAAUUAUUAGUAAUAAAUUUUAGUGGAGAAAUUUUAUUCGGUUCUAAGGGUAUCUAGUUUUUUAAGAAAUAAAUUUAAUUUAGUCUUCUUAUUUAAUUAUUAAAUUUUAUUAUACUAUUAUAUGAGAAGGUAAAUUUUAUAGGGGAUAAGCUCUAUUUUUUUCUAUAAUGAUUGUUAUUAAUUUAUUGGAGUAGGUUUAAAAUUAUCCAUCUUUGAUAAGUGUGUUAUAAUUUAUUUUUUUUUAUUAAUUAAUUUAAUUGGUUUUUAGUUAUCUAUUAAAAUGUUAUAAUUAAUUUUUUAUUGUAAGCAAUAAUGAUUAAAUUAGUAUAGAAAUGUGUUUAUAUUACUGUUAAGUAAAUAAUAAGAUAAGGAACUCGGCAAAUAUAGUUCUCGCCUGUUUAACAAAAACAUGUCCUUUUGAUUUAAUAGAAGGUCUGACCUGCCCAGUGAUGAAGUUUAACGGCCGCGGUAUACUGACCGUGCAAAGGUAGCAUAAUCAUUAGUCUUUUAAUAGAGGGCUGGAAUGAAAGGUUUGACGAGGAACUGACUGUCUCAUUUUAUUUGGUUUAGAAUUUAAUUUUUUAGUCAAAAAGCUAAAAUAUUAUUGGAAGACGAGAAGACCCUAUAGAUCUUUAUAUAAAUUACUUAAUUAUUCUUUAUAUUAAUAUUUUAUGUCAAUUUUAUWUUUMGUUGGGGUGACAAGAAUAUAUAAAUAACUUUUUUAUUUAUUAAACAUUGAUUUAUGAAUAACAGAUCCAUUAUUAGUGAUUUUUAGAUUAAGUUACCUUAGGGAUAACAGCGUAAUCCUCCUCCASAGUUCAUAUUUACAGGAUGGGCUUGCGACCUCGAUGUUGGAUUAAGAUAAUAGCUGGGUGUAGCCGCUCAGUUCAUAGGGUCUGUUCGACCUUUAAAUUCUUACAU